CCUACGGGUGGCAGCAGUGGGGAAUAUUGGGCAAUGGGCGCAAGCCUGAACCAGCAACGCCGCGUGAAGGAAGAAGGCUUUCGGGUUGUAAACUUCCUUUAUGAGGGACGAAAGAAAUGACGGUACCUCAUGAAUAAGCCACGGCUAACUACGGGCCAGCAGCCGCGGUAAUACGUAGGUGGCAAGCGUUAUUCGGAUUUACUGGGUGUAAAGGGCGUGUAGGCGGGACUGCAAGUCAGAUGUGAAAAUUAUGGGGUCAACCCAUGACCUGGAGUUGAAACUGUAGUUCUUGAGUGAGGGAGAGGCAUGCGGAAUGCCGGGUGUAGCGGUGAAAUGCGUAGAUAUACCGAAGAACACCGGUGGCGAAGGCAGCCUGCUGGACAUUAACUGACGCUGAGGCACGAAAGCGUGGGGAGCGAACAGGAUUAGAUACCCUUGUAGUC
Molecule: ribosomal RNA, 443 nt
Filed under: uncultured bacterium
Lineage: Bacteria
Description: partial 16S ribosomal RNA
Rfam family: Bacterial small subunit ribosomal RNA
Source: RNAcentral